Molecule: transfer RNA, 72 nt
Filed under: Nototriton abscondens
Lineage: Eukaryota; Metazoa; Chordata; Amphibia; Caudata; Plethodontidae
Description: tRNA-Asn
Source: RNAcentral
UAGAUUAGGGCCUGUUGUUCGGGCGUUUAGUUGUUAACUAAGAGGUUGUAGGAUAAAAGCCUACUGAUCUAG